This 433-nucleotide ribosomal RNA is filed under the name uncultured bacterium. RNAcentral's name for it is "partial 16S ribosomal RNA". It matches the Rfam family "Bacterial small subunit ribosomal RNA", at positions 29 to 507 of the family's 1533-position model. The record is from RNAcentral.
AACGAACGCUGGCGGCAUGCCUAACACAUGCAAGUCGAACGGGACCUUCGGGUCUAGUGGCGCAUGGGUGCGUAACGCGUGGGAACCUGCCUUUAGGUUCGGAAUAACUCAGAGAAAUUUGAGCUAAUACCGGAUGAUGUCUUCGGACCAAAGAUUUAUCGCCUUUAGAUGGGCCCGCGUUGGAUUAGCUAGUUGGUGGGGUAAAGGCCUACCAAGGCGACGAUCCAUAGCUGGUCUGAGAGGAUGAUCAGCCACACUGGGACUGAGACACGGCCCAGACUCCUACGGGAGGCAGCAGUGGGGAAUAUUGGACAAUGGGCGAAAGCCUGAUCCAGCAAUGCCGCGUGAGUGAUGAAGGCCUUAGGGUUGUAAAGCUCUUUUACCCGAGAUGAUAAUGACAGUAUCGGGAGAAUAAGCUCCGGCUAACUCCGUG